GUGGCUUAAUUUGACUCAACGCGGGAAAUCUUACUAGAUCAGGACACUUUGAGGAUUGACAGACAGUUAUACCGAACUACGAAUAAUGAAUGGUCCAGGGUAGGCAAAAACUAAUAGCUCUUUUAUGAUUAUGUGAUAGGUGGUGCAUGGCCGUUCUUAGUUCGUGGAGUGAUCUGUCUGCUUAAUUGCGUUUCAAAACAACUGAUACACAGAGUCUUGGCACAGUUCAGUUUAAUGGCGUCGAGUAUCUUUGAUUUCGACAGUAGUCCAACUCGGUUCGCCAGGGUCUCUUUUGAACGCAACGGACGUGAUCGCAACCCUUUGUUGAGUGAUGUCAGCACUC
This 343-nucleotide ribosomal RNA is filed under the name Orbulina universa. Its description in RNAcentral is "SSU rRNA". It matches the Rfam family "Eukaryotic small subunit ribosomal RNA", at positions 1185 to 1414 of the family's 1831-position model. The record is from RNAcentral. Lineage: Eukaryota; Foraminifera; Rotaliida; Globigerinidae.